ACUUUGAUACUUUAAUGUUUGAUAUGCCCUUUCUGUAAGUUGUUCAUGGGUCCUUGCAAAAGAAACAAAUGCUCAUUGCUGUCUAGAUUAGUUUCUAGAAAUUCGAUUUGGACCAGGUAUGUCCAACAGAAUGAGAUUCGGAUUUUCUUUUGGCGUACUAUAUAUGGCUGCAAGUUCGGGUGCGAUCGUCUGAAUAACUGAAUGUACUGCAAAUUGCAAAACUAGCUCAUUAACUUGGAUCAUUUACCAAUUUGCUAAGUCCUAUUCAACUGUAAGCUGACGUUGAUCUACACACCUUAUUCAGUAUAAAAGCAGCACAACAUUAUCUUAACAAUGAAGAAUGAGAGGCUUUCAACCCGGAAAAAAAAAAGAAUGAGGGGCUUUCAUAUGUUUCGAGAUGCAUAGUGCACUAUUUUCUGGUCUAAAAUGGAGCUGAUUCAUAUGCUUGUCUAUACUUGGAGCAAGCAAUUCAGUCCAUGAAUCUCCUUUCUAUGUGUAUUGACAAUCAUGACUCCAACACAGUAUGCACUAACCUGUUUUAGCC
Molecule: small RNA, 544 nt
Filed under: Oryza sativa Japonica Group (Japanese rice)
Lineage: Eukaryota; Viridiplantae; Streptophyta; Magnoliopsida; Poales; Poaceae
Description: sRNA Os04g0631300
Source: RNAcentral